GUGUCAGCAGCCGCGGUAAUACGAAGGGGGCUAGCGUUGUUCGGAAUUACUGGGCGUAAAGCGCGCGCAGGCGGCUAUCCAAGUCAGUGGUGAAAGCCCGGAGCUCAACUCCGGAACUGCCAUUGAAACUGUUUAGCUUGAGGACGAGAGAGGUGAGUGGAAUUCCCAGUGUAGAGGUGAAAUUCGUAGAUAUUGGGAAGAACACCGGUGGCGAAGGCGGCUCACUGGCUCGUAUCUGACGCUCAGGCGCGACAGCGUGGGGAUCAAACAGGAUUAGAAACCCGCGUAGUCC
RNAcentral lists this ribosomal RNA (292 nucleotides) under uncultured bacterium. RNAcentral describes it as "partial 16S ribosomal RNA". It matches the Rfam family "Bacterial small subunit ribosomal RNA", at positions 505 to 796 of the family's 1533-position model. The record is from RNAcentral.